UCUGAAACGAAGCAUCAUGAGGUCGAUCAUAUUAGUAUUGUUGGCUCUUGUUCUGGUAGUGCUUUCCCAAAAAACUUUAGAGGAGGAAGGUAUAAAGCUGAAUUGAAUUUUGUCUGUUGAUUAUAUUUUUUUUUUCUGCUAGCUUGCGCCAUCAGGUUUCAGAAAUUUUGGAAUGGUAACUAUUAAUAAUAUACAUAUACAUAUCUAAAUCGACUCUAUAACGACAGUAUUUAUUGUUUUUUAGAAUGCAAAACGGGCAAGUGCAAGUCAGAUGUCAUCAAGCAGUUUAAAAGCAAGUAAAACAAUUAUUCAGAAAAUUAUUAUUACAUUUAACGCAUUUCAGAAUGUGAUCCGAACGGAGAGCUAACGUUUUCUUCUACCAACUACGAUUAAUUUCCAACUAAUAUCAUUUAGUAAACCAUUUAGUUAUUUGUUCUACAUUCACCAAGAUUGCAAAACUUACUAAGGGGUUUUUCGGUCAAGUUUAUAUAAUAAACAAAAUUCUGUU
RNAcentral lists this long non-coding RNA (508 nucleotides) under Drosophila guanche. The record is from RNAcentral. Lineage: Eukaryota; Metazoa; Arthropoda; Insecta; Diptera; Drosophilidae.